This 328-nucleotide ribosomal RNA is filed under the name uncultured eukaryote. RNAcentral's name for it is "partial 18S ribosomal RNA". It matches the Rfam family "Eukaryotic small subunit ribosomal RNA", at positions 1470 to 1796 of the family's 1831-position model. The record is from RNAcentral.
CCCUUAGAUGUUCUGGGCUGCACACGUGCUACACUGGCAGGUUCAGCGAGCUUCAUGCCCUGAUCUGAAAGGAAUGGGAAAUCUUUUCAAAACCUGCCGUGCUUGGGAUAGAUGUUUGCAAUUAUUCAUCUUCAACGAGGAUUGCCUUGUAAGCGCACGUCAUCAGCGUGCAUUGAAUACGACCCUGUAUUCUGUACACACCGCCCGUCGCUACUACCGAUUGAACGUUUUAGUGAGGCAUUUGGACCGACGCAUCUCAGUUUAACCGCUGGUUUGUGUUGGAAAGACUUCCAAACUUGAGCGUUUAGAGGAAGUAAAAGUCGUAACA